RNAcentral lists this ribosomal RNA (1506 nucleotides) under metagenome. Its description in RNAcentral is "bacterial SSU rRNA". It matches the Rfam family "Bacterial small subunit ribosomal RNA". The record is from RNAcentral.
AGAGUUUGAUCCUGGCUCAGGACGAACGCUGGCGGCGUGCCUAAUACAUGCAAGUAGAACGCUGAAGAGAGGAGCUUGCUCUUCUUGGAUGAGUUGCGAACGGGUGAGUAACGCGUAGGUAACCUGCCUUGUAGCGGGGGAUAACUAUUGGAAACGAUAGCUAAUACCGCAUAACAAUGGAUGACACAUGUCAUUUAUUUGAAAGGGGCAAUUGUUCCACUACAAGAUGGACCUGCGUUGUAUUAGCUAGUAGGUGAGGUAAUGGCUCACCUAGGCGACGAUACAUAGCCGACCUGAGAGGGUGAUCGGCCACACUGGGACUGAGACACGGCCCAGACUCCUACGGGAGGCAGCAGUAGGGAAUCUUCGGCAAUGGGGGCAACCCUGACCGAGCAACGCCGCGUGAGUGAAGAAGGUUUUCGGAUCGUAAAGCUCUGUUGUAAGUCAAGAACGGGUGUGAGAGUGGAAAGUUCACACUGUGACGGUAGCUUACCAGAAAGGGACGGCUAACUACGUGCCAGCAGCCGCGGUAAUACGUAGGUCCCGAGCGUUGUCCGGAUUUAUUGGGCGUAAAGCGAGCGCAGGCGGUUUGAUAAGUCUGAAGUUAAAGGCUGUGGCUCAACCAUAGUUCGCUUUGGAAACUGUCAAACUUGAGUGCAGAAGGGGAGAGUGGAAUUCCAUGUGUAGCGGUGAAAUGCGUAGAUAUAUGGAGGAACACCGGUGGCGAAAGCGGCUCUCUGGUCUGUAACUGACGCUGAGGCUCGAAAGCAUGGGGAGCGAACAGGAUUAGAUACCCUGGUAGUCCACGCCGUAAACGAUGAGUGCUAGGUGUUGGAUCCUUUCCGGGAUUCAGUGCCGCAGCUAACGCAUUAAGCACUCCGCCUGGGGAGUACGACCGCAAGGUUGAAACUCAAAGGAAUUGACGGGGGCCCGCACAAGCGGUGGAGCGUGUGGUUUAAUUCGAAGCAACGCGAAGAACCUUACCAGGUCUUGACAUCCCGAUGCUAUUUCUAGAGAUAGAAAGUUACUUCGGUACAUCGGUGACAGGUGGUGCAUGGUUGUCGUCAGCUCGUGUCGUGAGAUGUUGGGUUAAGUCCCGCAACGAGCGCAACCCCUAUUGUUAGUUGCCAUCAUUCAGUUGGGCACUCUAGCGAGACUGCCGGUAAUAAACCGGAGGAAGGUGGGGAUGACGUCAAAUCAUCAUGCCCCUUAUGACCUGGGCUACACACGUGCUACAAUGGUUGGUACAACGAGUUGCGAGUCGGUGACGGCGAGCUAAUCUCUUAAAGCCAAUCUCAGUUCGGAUUGUAGGCUGCAACUCGCCUACAUGAAGUCGGAAUCGCUAGUAAUCGCGGAUCAGCACGCCGCGGUGAAUACGUUCCCGGGCCUUGUACACACCGCCCGUCACACCACGAGAGUUUGUAACACCCGAAGUCGGUGAGGUAACCUUUUGGAGCCAGCCGCCUAAGGUGGGACAGAUGAUUGGGGUGAAGUCGUAACAAGGUA